Paramuricea clavata is the source of this 302-nucleotide non-coding RNA. The record is from the annotation of a GenBank genome assembly. Lineage: Eukaryota; Metazoa; Cnidaria; Anthozoa; Malacalcyonacea; Plexauridae.
AAAGUCUCGAAAGUAAGCGCCCCCUCGAAAGUAAGCGCCCCUCGAAAGUAAGCGCCUUUUUCAACACUUGCUAGAGAAUCUGGAAAGUAAGCGCUCUUCGACAGUAAGCGCCCCUUGAGGCCACUAAUUUCGAAAUUAAGCAGGGCGCUUACUUUCGAGACUUUACGGUAUUAGUGUUAGAUACCGGUCAUAUCUAAGUAAAAGUUCUUAAAUUAAAGAAACUCUCUAAUCCAUAUGUAUACCAUAUAUACUCUAUAGCAUGGAUUUAAAAAUGGCCGAUGCUGAAAAUAGCAACUCGAAAG